Molecule: ribosomal RNA, 301 nt
Filed under: uncultured bacterium
Lineage: Bacteria
Description: bacterial SSU rRNA
Rfam family: Bacterial small subunit ribosomal RNA
Source: RNAcentral
AUUGAACGCUGGCGGCAGGCCUAACACAUGCAAGUCGAGCGAGAAAGCACUUCGGUGCGAGUACAGCGGCGGACGGGUGAGUAACGCGUAGGAAUCUACCCGGUAGUGGGGGACAACUUGUGGAAACGCAAGCUAAUACCGCAUACGCCCUAUGGGGGAAAGCGGGGGAUCUUCGGACCUCGCGCUAUCGGAUGAGCCUGCGUAGGAUUAGCUAGUUGGUGAGGUAAAGGCUCACCAAGGCGACGAUCCUUAGCUGGUCUGAGAGGAUGAUCAGCCACACUGGAACUGAGACACGGUCCAG